UAGCUCAGCUGGGAGAGCGCUUGCAUGGCAUGCAAGAGGUCAGCGGUUCGAUCCCGCU
RNAcentral lists this transfer RNA (58 nucleotides) under Klebsiella pneumoniae. RNAcentral describes it as "tRNA-Ala". It matches the Rfam family "tRNA", at positions 8 to 63 of the family's 71-position model. Rfam says of the family: Transfer RNA (tRNA) molecules are approximately 80 nucleotides in length. Their secondary structure includes four short double-helical elements and three loops (D, anti-codon, and T loops). Lineage: Bacteria; Pseudomonadati; Pseudomonadota; Gammaproteobacteria; Enterobacterales; Enterobacteriaceae. The record is from RNAcentral. RNAcentral also lists the same sequence under 4 other names.